UGAGCGUCAUCCCUCUUCGUUGCAGAAAGGGGAACACAGCAGAACGGACGUUGGCGUGAAAAGGCAGCGAGGUCCAGGAAGGGGCCACCUCCGCCAUCCCCCAAUACACAUUCAUUCCUGACUCCACACCGACAAGACGGAGGAGCAGCAAAGACGUGGGUGUUUACGAAAAGGGCCGCACCUUGGCUGGAGCGACUGGACUGCUGCGCUCUUACCGUGCUCACCCUCCCUCGAAACACAGGCACUCGCUUCCCCCUUCCGCAUCUCUCAACACCGGCACUUUUCCCCACCCACCCCGUGCUCUUUCCGUCUUCUUGGGUGUGCGAGCGGAAGGCGGUUGAACGGUUGCCGGCUUUUUUUCUACUCAUCUUCACUUAGGAAGCACAUCCGCCCUGCAUCAUGGCGUUCCGCGGCAGCAGCGCGCGGCUCGCGGCCACGCCAGGCGUCGGCAUCGCGCCAGAGACAACGCCGGUCAAGUACGUGCCGGAAAUGCUGAACAUUCAAAACGCCAAGUGGUGGAACGGCCGCGGCAAGCCCGUCUACCGCUCCACCUACAACGAGAAAUCGUGGCUGCAGAAGGCAAGGUGGGGCGCCUUCACCAAAGGGAGCCGCCCUGUCAUGCGCCAGCGCUACUCCGCUGCGGCGCUGAAGGAGGCGCUCGAGAUGGUGCCUGAAGGGUUUGAAACAUGCGAUGUGCCGCGUCCGCCGCAGCGCAUCCGGGCGCAGUCGGAGGGGGUGGUAGGGCGGUGGUACACGAACUACUGGACUCUGCACUCUGUCCGGUAUCAGUGUCAACUCGCGGGGGUCGAAUGGCAGUUUGGCGAGCGGCAGCGGCCGCGCACCAACUACGACGAGCCACACAUGUACACCGAUUUUGAGGAGACGAAGGCCAUCCGUGACUACCGCAGCCGCUGGAUCAACGUCAACCGCUCCCUUGUGGGUAUGUCGAAGCGAAUGAAGGAGUCGGAGGAGGAGGCGCGCUAUCUGCACUUCAAGAAGGUGCAGGACACCUUCUGGUCGAACAGGAAGGUCCUCGUGAACCGCGUCAAGUCGAUGCACAACCAGGGAACACUGCAGUCGGCCAAGGACCUGCCCAUCAAGACAAUCAACAUCAAGGCGUUUCUUGCGGAUUAGUUCUGAGGGCUUGCGCGUGCACCUUUCAUGUCGCUCUUCUGCUCUCAUCCCUCCUCGCCUCCCUGCGCAAGCCUUUACGACUUGCUGCACCCCACUCCUCUUUCUCUUUAUCUUCUCGGGCCUCUCGGCAGCGAGGAGCAGCGCUAUGCGAGCUCAGGAGGCCGGCGUGUUGUUUGCGGUGGUGACGCGGAAAAAGGGGGUGGGACAGAAGCAAACAGGGGGCACUGCUGCUUCAUGGCAACACAAACGCUGCUGCAAGGCAGAGGCGUGGGGAGGAUGCGCACCAUGGCGGGGGUCAUUGAGCACAGGCUAUGCAGAAGCCGCAACACCUGAAGGCAUACCGCACCAACCGCAUUCCCGUUUUGCUCCCCCUCUUUUCCUCCUCUUUCCUUGGUUGCAGUGGUCAUGGCUGUGACUGCGCGUGGACAACCGAUGUCGGUGGUGCUUGGGCGUUGUGAUUUGUAGAACAAAAAAAACACACAGCGUUAUGACGACACGAACACGAUGGCACGGUAUGUGUGUGUGUGUGUGUGGGUAAGGAUGCACAGCGGACGCAGGAGUGACGCCGCACGAAGCGGUCGAGUCGAUCGCUCGGGCCCGCUGCCAGUGAGUGGGGGGAAAGAAAACGAAAAAGCACAGAGAGGGGGCGCAAGCACGGGCUGCAUGUAUUGUGCUCUGGUUUCGCGAAUCGUUCCAGCCCCACAAGAGCGCAUGAAACCGGCAACCGGCCCCCCUCCUCCUCCUCGCUGUGCACAGCGUGUGGCGUGGUGAGUGGGGGAGAGAGCAUGACAUUAUCUCUGCUAUUGCUUGAGUAACGUGCAAGUGCGUCUUCUCUCUUGCCUAUGCAGUGAUUCCUGCUCCUCUGCCCUCGCAGAACUACUGCAGCAACCCUCGCUGAAUGUGAACUGUGCGCGCCAUCUCACACCUACCACCAACAGGCUUCUCCCCUGCCGCCCUCCCCACCCCGUCCAUC
RNAcentral lists this unclassified non-coding RNA (2107 nucleotides) under Leishmania donovani. RNAcentral's name for it is "gene:LdHU3.28.3410(CDS-product:hypothetical_prote in_conserved)". Lineage: Eukaryota; Euglenozoa; Kinetoplastea; Trypanosomatida; Trypanosomatidae. The record is from RNAcentral.